AGCGCAGACGGUUGAUUAAGUCUGAUGUGAAAGCCCGGAGCUCAACUCCGGAAUGGCAUUGGAAACUGGUUAACUUGAGUGCAGUAGAGGUAAGUGGAACUCCAUGUGUAGCGGUGGAAUGCGUAGAUAUAUGGAAGAACACCAGUGGCGAAGGCGGCUUACUGGACUGUAACUGACGUUGAGGCUCGAAAGUGUGGUAGCAAAACA
This 207-nucleotide ribosomal RNA is filed under the name uncultured bacterium. Its description in RNAcentral is "partial 16S ribosomal RNA". It matches the Rfam family "Bacterial small subunit ribosomal RNA", at positions 568 to 775 of the family's 1533-position model. The record is from RNAcentral.